Molecule: long non-coding RNA, 1329 nt
Filed under: Camelus dromedarius (Arabian camel)
Lineage: Eukaryota; Metazoa; Chordata; Mammalia; Artiodactyla; Camelidae
Description: lncRNA (ENSCDRG00005001656.1)
Source: RNAcentral
GAAAAAAAUGUCUUAGGUAAUUCUGCCAGUCUUUUCUCAUUACAAAAAUCAGUAUAUAAACAUGUCAAAUGUAAACACAAUAUUUUUAGAAGAAAUAAAGACAAAAGUAUUAUGUACUUAGGGGAUUCUUGUGAUAUUUGGAGUAAUUAUUAUCUGACCAGUACUUUAAUGUUUUCUGCUGAAGAUGAAGGAAUGGGGUACUUCAUUUAGCUUUUUCAUUUGCUAGCUCAACUUGCUAGUUACAUAAAAAGGGAAACUACCAGUUAGGUAAUUUAGAUCAACACUUUGAUUUUUUUUUUCCCCUUUUCGAGGUUCCUGAGCAGAAGGGAAAAUGAGGCUUGAAGAUUGGAGAAGGGGAGAAAUAUGACGCUAGAGCUCUUGCAGCAGUUUCUUUCCUGGACUGUAAGCUCGCAUGGCAUUCCCAACUUACAUGGAACUCUAAAAGACGCAGCAGAUAAAGGCAAGAGGUAAGAAGUUACUUGGUCUCCCUUCCCCCACGGCCCUGAGUAUCCCCAAAGAGCUAAAAGCUCAAGGGAACAGUUUGAAAUCACGAGGCUAGAUAACCUUUUGGGUUCUUUCCAAGUCUUACUUCUGCCACUAGGAGUAAGACUGAGGUAGAAAAGGUUUGUAUCCAUUUUACAGCCUGUGAACCCCUGUAUGUAAUUUUAUACAGACCUACACAGCACACAGCAUUCAGCUAAUACAGAAUAUAGAAUACUGCCACACCACAUGUGGCAAGCACCCUUUGAAUUUCAACAUAUAUUUUAGAUUAAAAAAUAAAAUAAGAAAACCAUUACCAGAAGGUACUCUUCUCUCAGUCACUUUAUGGAUACACUUCAAAAUAUAGACUUGAUGGUGAAUUAAAAUUGAAUGCAAAUAUUGUCACUGAGAAGUUGUCCAUUUAUACAGUUUUCUAAGACUCUUUUAGUUUUUAAUGGGCAAGGUUUUGCUAAAAACAAGAAGUGUUAAUUACAUAAAUAUGCGUAUUCUUUUCAAAGCAUUACACUAUAUUAUGGUUAAAAAACAAUAGAGAAGUGAAUGCAGAAAUACUUCAACAGAAAUACUGUUUCUUGAACAGCCUUUAAAAUUAUGACAUGUUUAUUGGGAGAAUACAUUACUCACGACAGGGUUACAAAAGCAAUAUUAACCUUGAAAUUUAAUAGCAAAGUCAGACAUUAAAGAUCAGUACCACACGUGGUGACAGAGGUACUUUUGUUUAGAUUGUACAUAGGAUAAGACAGAUAUUUAAUGCUACAUUAAGAUGUAGGUAAAUAAAGGGUCCUUUAGAAGAUUCAUAACACAUGCAUCAUGAUUUUUAGCAGAUUGUGC